GGAAGGGGGAUUCGCAGAGCCCAGCCUUAGAGAGACACUGGCGGAGCCUCUUCAGCAAUAGCCACCCCCUUGCUCGGAGCCGAGCCAGCCCCCCGGACUGCAGUGCCGGCUCCCCUCCCCACGGCCUGCUAGGGAGAGGGGGGAGAGUCCGCUCUGCAGCCCCUGGGCUUGUCUGGCAGCAGCAUCCUCCGGCUCUGGCUGCAUCGGUGCCGUCAAUUCCCUCCUGCUCCGGCGUCUCUGCCUCGCCGGGAUGCAGCCAGCGUUAGCCUGAGGGAGUGGCAGGCUGUAUUCCUGAGGGCUGCAGCCUCCGGCUAGGGCUGGGGGGGGGGGCAAGAGGGGCUUGCAAGCAGCCGGGAGGGCUCCCCCACAGCCCCCCUGCAAGCUGGAUGCUAAGGAAGAAGGUCUGUGACGAUGGAAGAAGGGGUCCGUCAUCUAGAAGCCUGACUGGGUGGCAGUAGGAAAACCCUCCGAGAGACGGGCAGCUACUAGCUUGAGAUACAGAGCGAGACAAACAUGCUGAAACCAAGUGGACUUAAAAUUCCCGGCAAGGCUGGGAAACACUCCAGCCCCGUGGGACGGGCUUCGGGGACAGCUGCGGCUGCAGCCACUACUGGCUCAAAGGAAGGCUCACCUUUGCACAAGCAGGGUCCCACCUCCACUGCCAGUGCCGAGAAGCCAGGAUCAAAGGUCACUGAGGUGGGCGAUGACUUCCUGGGAGACUUCGUGGUGGGCGAACGUGUCUGGGUGAACGGAGUGAAGCCAGGUGUGAUCCAGUACCUUGGGGAGACCCAGUUUGCCCCCGGCCAGUGGGCAGGGGUUGUUCUGGAUGACCCGGUGGGUAAGAAUGACGGCUCCGUUGGUGGCGUACGUUACUUUGAGUGCCAGCCGCUGCAGGGGAUUUUUACACGGCCCUCCAAGCUGACCCGCCAGCCCGUGGCGGAGGGCUCGGGCAGCGAUGCCCAUUCUGUGGAGUCCCUGACAACUCAGAACUUGUCGUUGCACUCAGGGACGGCGACACCGCCUCUCUCCACUCGCAUCAUCCCCCUGAGGGAGAGUGUCCUGAACAGCACCAUGAAAACCGGAAAUGAAUCUGGAUCUAACCUGUCAGACAGCGGGUCGGUGAAAAAGGGCGAUAAAGACUUACGGCUUGGAGACCGCGUCCUGGUUGGCGGGACGAAAACGGGAGUUGUGCGCUAUGUGGGCGAGACAGAUUUUGCCAAAGGAGAAUGGUGUGGAGUGGAACUUGAUGAACCUCUAGGGAAGAAUGACGGGGCAGUCGCUGGUACAAGGUAUUUUCAGUGCCCCCCCAAAUUUGGCCUCUUCGCUCCCAUUCACAAGGUGAUCCGGAUUGGGUUCCCGUCCACCAGCCCUGCUAAAGCAAAGAAGAGCAAACGGAUGGCCAUGGGAGUGUCAGCCUUAACUCACAGCCCCAGUAGCUCGUCCAUCAGCUCUGUCAGCUCCGUGGCCUCCUCUGUCGGUGGCAGACCCAGCCGGAGCGGAUUGCUGACGGAAACCUCCUCUCGCUAUGCCCGGAAGAUCUCCGGCACGACCGCCCUGCAGGAGGCACUGAAGGAAAAGCAGCAGCACAUUGAGCAGCUGCUGGCAGAGCGAGAUCUGGAGAGAGCGGAAGUUGCCAAGGCCACCAGCCACAUCUGUGAGGUGGAAAAGGAAAUUGCCAUCCUGAAGGCCCAGCAUGAGCAGUAUGUCACGGAGGCGGAGGCGAAUCUCCAGCGAGCUCGGACCCUGGUAGAUGGGGUGCAGAAGGAAAAGUUGGAGCUGCUGAACCAACUGGAAGAGGAGAAAAGGAAAGUGGAGGACUUGCAGUUCCGAGUGGAGGAAGAAUCCAUUACCAAGGGAGAUCUGGAGACUCAGACGCAGUUGGAGCAUGCCCGCAUACGGGAGCUCGAGCAGAGCCUGCUGUUUGAGAAGGCACAGGCUGAAAAACUCCUCAGAGAAUUAGAGGACACCAGGUUAACUACGGUAGCAGAGAAGUCUAGAAUCCUUCAGCUGGAGGAAGAGCUGAGUGUCCAGCGCAGUGAGGUGGAGGAGCUUAGACAAUGCCUAAGAAACUCUCACCAGGCAGAGACCCCUGAGCAUAAUCUUGGUCUGCAGUCAGAGGCGCUUCGCCUGCGAGACCAGCUGCUGUCUGCCAGCAAGGAGCACCAGAAAGAGAGCAGCCAGCUGAAGGAGAAGUAUGAAAAGACCCUGAAGAAGCACCAGCAGGAGAUAGAGAAGCUGAAAGCCGUCAAUGAAAAAUAUUCCCAGGAAAUCGUUGACCUGAAACACAAAGUUCAACAAGCCACCAAUGAGAACAUGGGGCUGAUGGACAAUUGGAAGUCCAAGCUGGAUACCUUGGCAUCUGACCAUCAGAAAUCUCUGGAAGACCUCAAAGCCACCCUGAACACAGGCCCUGACACCCAACACAAGGAGAUAGUAGAACUGAAGGCCGUGGUAGAGAGCAUAAAGAUGGAGCACCAACUUGAACUGGAGAACCUUAAAGCUAAGCACGAUAUCGAGACUGCGGUUCACAUAAAAGAGAAAGAAAGUCUGAAGCUGAAGCUACAGGAAGCCAGCGACGAAGUGGAAGAAAGCAACAACAACUGGAAAAUGCAACUGGAAACCAAAACAAACCAGCACCUUACAGAACUUCAGGACAUGAAGGAGAAGUGCCGAGAUGCCGAACUGAGAGUGCAUGAACUGGAGAAGCUUCACAGUGAAUAUAAAGAUCAGGCUCAAGCAAUAGCUUUCUUGAAAGAGCAGAUUUCUCUGGCUGAGAAGAAGAUGUUGGACUAUGAGACACUACAGAAAACAGAAGCCCAGAGUAAACAGGAGAUCCAAAGAUUGCAGGAAAAAGUGCUUGUCUUAGAGAACAAACUGCAGUCCAUGGAGGCUCUGCAUCCUUCUCAGCAUGCCAAUAUGAUUGAAACUAAUGAUAUUUCAGAAGAGAAGAUGAAGAUGAAGGAGGCUAUGGAAGAACUGCAAGAUAAGAUGAGUAAAAGAGAUAAAGAGGUGUCGUCCCUCCUCUCCCAGACUGAAACUCUAAGGGCCCAAGUAAGUGCAUUGGAAAAUAAAUGCAAAGCUGGAGAGAAGAAGGGAGAUUCUCUGUUGAAGGAAAAGAAGCGGUUGGAAGCUGAACUGGAGACCUUGUCCAGGAAAACGCAUGAUGCUUCAGGCCAGCUGGUCCUGAUUAGCCAGGAGCUACUCAAAAAGGAAAGGAGCCUGAAUGAGCUGCGAGCUUUGCUGCUGGAAGCAACCCGUCACUCGCCCGGGCCAGAGCGGGACCUGAGCCGAGAGGUGCACAAAGCAGAGUGGAGGCUGAAAGAGCAGAAACUCAAAGACGACAUCAAAGGCCUGAGAGAAAAGCUGAUAGUGCUGGAUAAAGAGAAAUCGGUAACGGAUCAAAGGCGAUACUCCCUCAUUGACCCUUCGUCAGAGUCUGAGGUUCUCCGGCUGCAGCACCGACUGGUCAGCACGGAGGAUGUCCUACGGAAUGCACUGGAGCAGGGUCAGCAAAUGGAGAAACUCCUGGAGGCCAUGAGGAGUUCUUCGGAGAAAACACAGGUGAGAUCUAAAACCAACUGCAUGACUGUGUGUGGAUCAUUAAAGAUCCUCUGGCACCCGUCACAAGAACUGGAUGUUAGUCCCAGUAUCCUGCAUCAAAUUCCAGUGUGGGUAAUUACAGUCGACCUAUUUAAAUGACUCUUGGAAACUCGGGAUCUGCUAAUGGGAUCCAUCAACAGGAUAAAUCCCACAAGCAGGAGGAGAAGCACUGAUAGAGAAGAAGAGGUGGAGAGAAUCAUUUCAUGCCAGUAUCUACUUCUGCGCACCAACAGGAAAAGGAUGCACCUCCUAAAGACUAGCGACAGUAUUUUAACUUUAAAAACAGGACUGUUUAUAAUGUACUAACCGACCUAAGUAGGACAAUCCCCUGGUUCGUAUUUUCCAAGACGAGCAUCAUUCCAGAAGGAGCGGUAUGGAAACCUACCUGUGUAAAGAACCUUUUGUUUUGCUUUCUUAUCCGUAUCGGUUUUGACUGUGGAAUUUGUAUCGGCCGAGUGGACAGUCUCCAUUCAUCCCACCUGAACAAUGUGGUCUGGUUGAGAGCUGAUGGUGGCUGAAACUUCAUCAGUGAUUCCUAGACCCCUAGAGGAAAUGCAAAGAGGUUUGCUUGGGGCAUUAGAAAAUUCCUAAGUAUGUUCCCAAAGGCUGCACUCUCCACGCCAGGUAAUCCCUGUCCCUCUCCCCCCACCCACCCACUCACAUAGUAUGAUGAACUACAGAAAUGAGUCAGACCUACUAGGCUGGCUGUGCUCAAGCCAGUAAGAAUGGAUCGUAGAAGAGCUGUUGGGACAGUCCUCCCCCUUCCCUGCACAGAAGACCUCUCAGGUGUAGACCAUGGAAACUCCCCUUAAAACUGUAUGAUAGCACAGGUGGUACCUCAUCUGAUUUCAGAUGAUAUAAUUUAUUUCAGCUGUUUGUGAAUCAGUGUUUACUCUGAGUUGAUGAAGGGGAGGGAGCCUCUGGUGGGGGUGAGUACAGGUCUCCUUAGCCUCUCUCCUCUGAGAGAUCUCUUAGCAGGACCAGCUGUGCCGGGGCCCAGAGCCAGGGCCCAUGGGUGUGUUGUGGCAUAUGGUAGCUCUGCAGGCCCGUACACAGCAAAGCUUUGGAGGCAGCUGGCUAGAACCUUUGUAUGCCUGUUUGUGAGGGUCUGGAUAGAAAACCCACACACAGGAUGUAGUCGCAUCGGACAGAGGCUGCUAGGCUCUGAUUCCCUCUCCACUGCUAUCCACAGAAUUGUAAUCACUAGCUGGAAGAGUUGGGCUACCUUGCAUUAGGCUGCUUGGGGGCUGCACCUACCAGUCUCAGUUGUCUUUCGCUCUUCAGUACAGUAUCUGGCGGGAGAGGGCUAACAUGUUGCUGUGAGGCAGAGACUGAGGAUGAUAGUUAAACAAAGGCCCCGUCUAGAGCAGGAGAGCUCCAGCUGUAACCAGAGCAGAUUUCUGUUCUUUCCUCUAUUUGCUGGGCACCUCAGACUCCCCCUAUUUGCUGUAAGUGGGAGUUCAGGGGUGCAGGUUUGGGCCCCAAAACAACACUGAGGGUCACGUUUUUAAAGCAGGAGCUCCAAGCCAUGUGCACAGAAAUCCAGGCACAACGGAGCACCCAGAUUUGCACAAAGAACUGUUGCCAUUGUGAAUGCAGAGAGCCAGUUGGGCACCUCUGUAUCCAUCUGCAAUAACUGUCCAUGCAGGAGGGGGAACCCCAUUGCCUGUGUGAACCGGUAUUUUCAAAAGUGUCCAGCAUUGGCUGCCUGACUCUGCUCCUGCUGAAAUUAAUGGUCAGAUGCCCACUGACAUCAAUGGGAGCGUUCGGGGCAAUGCCACGGGCUUCGGAAAAUGCCUUCCAGGGCUUAGGGAAGGCAGCACCCAGGUGAGUGCACAGGAGUUCAUGGGACUUACCAAGUGGGAAGGGGGGGGUCGAUUUUGUAAUCAAUCUAUAUUUAUUUUCUGUCUAGUUUACAAGUGACAAGCCCCCGUUAUUUAAAGAGGAUUAAAUAGCAACUUUCUGCGUCGCUUUGCGACCCUCCUGCUUCCCCGGGUUCAAACAGGAGCUGGGAGGUGUGCUCCAUGGGCUGGGCUGAAUGGGCCAGAGCUCUGAAGCGAGUGGCACCGCCCUGAUUGAAACCAGAGGAGAAUUUGACCUAUCAAGAUGUCCCAGGCCAGUGCACCUGAGCCCAUUCAGUGACAGGGAGAAGGUAGAAGAGAGCCUGCUUUGUAAGCUGGCUUCGACUGUCUUCUCAGGAUCUAAUGCUCGCUAGGAUGUAACUGAGGGCAUAGUCCUUAAGGGGAGAGUAGCCUUCCAAGGAAAGGCCUGGAUGGCCUUACCACAGCAAUGGGCUGCAUUGAAUCACACGCUGUCCCGCAGGCUCUGAGUUUGCCCUUUUGGAAAGAGAUCUCUGCACCGAGAGCAACAGCGAGGGGCGAACCCGUUCUGGGACCCACCAGAGCAGCCCCAGGCUCUGCCCCUGUGCACCCAGCCAUAGAGGCUCAGCGCCCCAUUUCCAGCUCACCCUGCAGGCGGGAGAGUUACAACCGAAACAGAUGCCCCUGCUCAGGAGAGCCCAGCCAGGAGCUGCAUGACUCAGGAAUGCAGAUCGCACAGGGUGUGUUUGCACCCUGUGCCGCAGGGCCAGCACGAGGCCUGUGUUCCGCUGAAGUCCUGCAGAAGUGAAACAGGCACCAGAGACAGCGGUGAGGGAUUUCCCUAGUGCACACGGCUCAUGCCGGCCCUCUGCUCUGGUGCCAGCUGCACCCAUAGAUUUUUAGGAGACCAAAUUAGAACGAAACACAGAAAGUGACAAGUCAGAGGGUCCCCUUCCACCACAUUUAUUUAUAAGCAUCUCAUGACUUUUGCCCAGCUACAGUGGUACAUAAAGUACUCUGCAACAUUCUGUGUAACCGGCAUCAUCAGUAUUUUUUUAUUUUUAUUUUUUUUUGCAGGGGAGGUGGGGGGGGGUCAUCAAAGGGAAGUUAUGCAGCCAACUCCCAUUGGCAGUCAGUAGCUCCCAUUUGAAAAUCUCUCCUGUCAAUGUUAAUCCCAGAGCUCUUGUUCAGAGCUUCAAAUCUGAAGUAAGAUAGGGGGCUGCUUUCUCCUCCGUGACCCCCACCAUUGUCUCCGUUGGGUGUUCUGUGCUGGUGUCACAUCCAGGGCUGUGUGCAGAAUAUGCCUCUGGGAUCAAGAACUGCAGUGUGGGUGAGAGGGGAGAACUUUUCCUCUCCAGUCAAGGGGUCUUGCGUGAGAGCUAGUUACCUGGAAAAACAGUGCUGAGCUGUCUGGUCCACCCAUGCACCCUUCCCAUUCAAAGAGGGACUGUGGAAAACUGGACUUUCUGUCCAUUGUAUUAGUUCAGUGGCUGGAAGAGUUUUUUGUUUUGUUUUCCCACUGAAGGCUGAAAAAUCAUCUGAAGAAUAAAGUCUCCAUGCCAGCUGGAGAGGCUCUUGAAGGUCCAGAUUAGCAACCUUUUCCCCUCAUCCUAGCUAAAGAGAAAUCCUACAAGCAUUUGGAGGGCAGUACUGGCUUUAUCCUUUUCAGAGUUCAGAAAAGUGAAGCGGACACACAGUCCCAUGCUAACACCCUUACCCAGUCAUGGGUCCAAAAUUUAUAGUCAAGACAUACCAGCUACUGCCCCAUCCCCUUCUCUGAUCAGUUCCUUUGACUUUCAGUGGAUAUGCAUGAUGGUUUCAUGAAAACAAACAAAAAGCUGCAAUGAAACCUUCACAAGAUUCCAAUACCCCGCUGUUACAGCAGCUUUUAGCGGUUCACCACUAUCUUGUAGGGAAUUAUUAAUCCACUAACAUCUAUAGGCCUCCAUGCAAGUUACCAGAAUAAAGGCGAUAGUAGAUGUAUAAAUGGACAAUAACAUUUUACCCGUACAGUAUGUAUUACAAUUUUGUAGCUUAGUCAUUUUUUUGGCUAUCGAAUUUUGUGAGUAAGAUAAAAAAAAAUGGUUUGACUGCUAAUGUUUAUUUUGUUAUUUGAUUCUUUUCCCUCCCCUUCCUAUGUACAAACGCUGUACAAAUCUGAGUCCAUUGAGUGUAACUACAACCGAUGUCUAUUAAUGUACCACAGACCCCAGUAGUGGCUUGCUGAAGUGUGGUGAGCUGAUACUAAACAAUAAAACUUGUGGCUGAAGUCAGGCCCGCCCGCCUCUUCCAUCCCAGAGAGCGCAGGCCCGGGUGGUGCACGCCUGCGGGCGAACUGGGGGUCGGAAUGUUAAAAGGAUGCUU
Molecule: RNA transcript, 7784 nt
Organism: Mauremys mutica (yellowpond turtle)
Lineage: Eukaryota; Metazoa; Chordata; Testudines; Geoemydidae
Gene: CLIP2
Gene name: CAP-Gly domain containing linker protein 2
Exons: 18
Source: RefSeq, a predicted model, not a curated record